UGCUCAAGUUUUUGUUAAUACAGGGGGAAUCAAAAUGCAUAAGGACAUAUGUUUAUACUGCUAGCAGAAAAUUAUGCAAUUUAAUUGGCUGUUGAAGUUGCAGAAUAUUGUGCUUUAACUUUGAAAGAGGUACCUAAUCUUGUGCCUGAAGGUGAUCAGACCUUCAAUAGCAAUAUUACAGAAAGCAUUAUCCAUAAUUUCCCUGAUUAUCUUUCUACUAGGCUACGCAUAUAUUAGCAGAUUUAUUCUUUUUCUCCAUGCUUAUUAUCCACCAAACAUCACCACAUAUGUCAUUUCUGAAAAUAGGGUAAUGACAAAUUUAUGGAUUUUGUUCUUAUGAAAUGUUACUUAACUUUAA
RNAcentral lists this long non-coding RNA (358 nucleotides) under Panax ginseng (ginseng). Its description in RNAcentral is "long non-coding RNA (PGIN_LNC008888)". The record is from RNAcentral. Lineage: Eukaryota; Viridiplantae; Streptophyta; Magnoliopsida; Apiales; Araliaceae.